GCCUGCGCGGUAGUGGGACCCGACCCUGUCUCCAGUGGGCGUCUUGGGCCCCGGCUCUAUUCUGGGCUGCGGGCCUGGGAAGGGCUCGCCGGGUGCCAAAUGAGCUGUCCUAACUCUGCGGGGCUGCAGCUUCCUGCAUGAUGCUGGGGAGCUUGGCGCCUGACCCAGGAUCUAGAAGGCACUCUGGGCAGGCCGCGCUCCGCCCACGAAGGUCUGGCUUACCACACGCUCCUCCCCAUUCCCAGUGAGCCGCUUUUUGCAGCACCAGGCGAACACUUACACCAGUGCUUUGUAAAGGAAUCUUAUUGUCCACCCCGUGUCUUGGCAAAAGAACAGUGAUCACACAGAUUCCUACUUGGGCUCUUUCCUUUAAUCUUCGGAGGCUGAGUUUGCCCAACUCAGGUUUAACCACCAAGGACUCUGAGAGCUGGCAGGUCUGAGUAACCCUGGUAACAAUUCUCUUCACCUUAUCAAAACCUGAGCUAAAACCAAUGCAUCAGCUGAUGAUGACAGCAGAGAGUGGCAGGGCUGAGGACCCAAAGUCAUUUCCCAGGCUGGCGGAGAAUAAACUGCCAGGGAGAAGAAUGAGAAGACAGGAGACAAACUGUUUGGAAAGCUAAAUCUUCCCUCUUAAUGAAUAAAGGUUUUUGCCUUGUCUUAAAGUUUCUGAGUCCUAAUUUUGGCAAAAUAAAUAACUUAUGGUAAUCUGGAAUUGUAUUUUGUAAUAUUAAGUGUUUUGAACCUCUAACAUUUACUUCCCAAAAUCAAACUUCAGUUUCAAAAUUGUCUCUCUUGACCCCUAGCUUUUGGAUGCUACAGAAGGCCCCUGAAGCAUCCAGAAGAGAGGUAAACAGGAUUAUUUAACAUGUUUAGGUACAUGGGAUUGGCCAAAUGGUGUUUAAUGAUCUUCAGGUUAUAUUUUAGUGAAUAAUAUUAAUAUAUUUUCCAAAAUUGUAUGGGAUUUCUAAAAUUCUAAUGUCUGAGUAUAUGCUAGAAAUCAUAAUUAAGGUUAUUAUGUUAAGUUAUUGUAAAACACAGAAAUAAUAAAAUUUGUCAGUCAUGUUCUUGACUAACUACCUUGGACAUUUCACCAUUCAAAAUCGUCUUGUUUUAAUCCUCUUUAAAGGAUGGUUUAUAAUCAGCUAUAGGACUUUGACACAUGCUCUCAAAUGCAAGUUUCUGAUAACUUUGGAGAUUAUGACAUUGGAAUAAAGGAAAAAUGUACAGGACUCAUGAAGAGCUAAAAUAUUCAUGAAUAUCAAGCAAAACAAGAGUUAACAAAAUGGACUUUUUAACCUUUUUGCUUAAAAUGUUGCUGAUCCUUAUUUUGUUUUUCAGAGUCAAGGAAACUUAUUUUAAGCUAUUUAUAGCCUCUAAUAAUUAUGUAAGGUAUACUUCUGUAAAUAAAAUUCAGAGCAUAUU
Molecule: long non-coding RNA, 1422 nt
Filed under: Homo sapiens (human)
Lineage: Eukaryota; Metazoa; Chordata; Mammalia; Primates; Hominidae
Description: HSALNT0341853
Source: RNAcentral